Small nucleolar RNA from Hibiscus syriacus, 103 nucleotides. RefSeq annotates it as small nucleolar RNA snoR99. The record is from RefSeq and is a predicted model, not a curated record. The transcript has a single exon. NCBI's taxonomy places the organism in Eukaryota, Viridiplantae, Streptophyta, Magnoliopsida, Malvales, Malvaceae.
GUGCUUUAGGUAUGAACUAGUCCCUCGUAUCUAAUAUCCAUCUGCUCACUUUGUCAGUUGCCUUUUUCCUGUGGCAUUCUGAUCAUUAUAAGAUGGAAAAUGU